AUUGAACGCUGGCGGCAGGCCUAACACAUGCAAGUCGAGCGGAUGAAGGGAGCUUGCUCCUGGAUUCAGCGGCGGACGGGUGAGUAAUGCCUAGGAAUCUGCCUGGUAGUGGGGGAUAACGUCCGGAAACGUGCGCUAAUAGCGCAUACGUCAUGAGGGAGGAAGUGGGGGAUCUUCGUACCUCGCGCUAUCAGAUGAGCCUAGGUCGGAUUAGCUAGUGGGUGGGGUAACGGCCUACCAAGGCGACGAUCCGUAACUGGUCUGAGAGGAUGACCAGUCACCCUGGAACUGAGACACGGCCCAGACUCCUACGGGAGGCAGCAGUGGGGAAUAUUGGACCAUGGGCGAAAGCCUGAUCCAGCCAUGCCGCGUGUGUGAAGAAGGUCUUCGGAUUGUAAAGCACUUUAAGUUGGGAGGAAGGGCAGUAAGUUAAUACCUUGCUGUUUUGACGUUACCAACAGAAUAAGCACCGGCUAACUUCGUG
RNAcentral lists this ribosomal RNA (484 nucleotides) under uncultured bacterium. RNAcentral describes it as "partial 16S ribosomal RNA". It matches the Rfam family "Bacterial small subunit ribosomal RNA", at positions 30 to 507 of the family's 1533-position model. The record is from RNAcentral.